This 377-nucleotide ribosomal RNA is filed under the name uncultured bacterium. RNAcentral describes it as "bacterial SSU rRNA". It matches the Rfam family "Bacterial small subunit ribosomal RNA", at positions 521 to 896 of the family's 1533-position model. The record is from RNAcentral.
UAAUACGGAGGGUGCAAGCGUUAAUCGGAAUUACUGGGCGUAAAGCGUGCGCAGGCGGUUUGUUAAGUCUGCUGUGAAAUCCCCGAGCUCAACUUGGGAAUUGCAGUGGAUACUGGCAAGCUGGAGUAUGGUAGAGGAAGGUGGAAUUCCCGGUGUAGCAGUGAAAUGCGUAGAGAUCGGGAGGAACACCAGUGGCGAAGGCGGCCUUCUGGACCAAUACUGACGCUCAUGCACGAAAGCGUGGGGAGCAAACAGGAUUAGAUACCCUGGUAGUCCACGCCCUAAACGAUGCGAACUGGAUGUUGGGCACAUUACGGUGCUCAGUGUCGAAGCUAACGCGUUAAGUUCGCCGCCUGGGGAGUACGGUCGCAAGACUG